RNAcentral lists this ribosomal RNA (799 nucleotides) under Salmonella enterica subsp. enterica serovar Muenchen. RNAcentral describes it as "partial 23S ribosomal RNA". It matches the Rfam family "Bacterial large subunit ribosomal RNA", at positions 392 to 1190 of the family's 2925-position model. Lineage: Bacteria; Pseudomonadati; Pseudomonadota; Gammaproteobacteria; Enterobacterales; Enterobacteriaceae. The record is from RNAcentral.
AUGUGCUGUGAGCUCGAUGAGUAGGGCGGGACACGUGGUAUCCUGUCUGAAUAUGGGGGGACCAUCCUCCAAGGCUAAAUACUCCUGACUGACCGAUAGUGAACCAGUACCGUGAGGGAAAGGCGAAAAGAACCCCGGCGAGGGGAGUGAAAAAGAACCUGAAACCGUGUACGUACAAGCAGUGGGAGCACAGGUUUACCUGUGUGACUGCGUACCUUUUGUAUAAUGGGUCAGCGACUUAUAUUCUGUAGCAAGGUUAACCGUAUAGGGGAGCCGUAGGGAAACCGAGUCUUAACCGGGCGUUAAGUUGCAGGGUAUAGACCCGAAACCCGGUGAUCUAGCCAUGGGCAGGUUGAAGGUUGGGUAACACUAACUGGAGGACCGAACCGACUAAUGUUGAAAAAUUAGCGGAUGACCUGUGGCUGGGGGUGAAAGGCCAAUCAAACCGGGAGAUAGCUGGUUCUCCCCGAAAGCUAUUUAGGUAGCGCCUCGUGAAUUCAUCUCCGGGGGUAGAGCACUGUUUCGGCUAGGGGGCCAUCCCGGCUUACCAACCCGAUGCAAACUGCGAAUACCGGAGAAUGUUAUCACGGGAGACACACGGCGGGUGCUAACGUCCGUCGUGAAGAGGGAAACAACCCAGACCGCCAGCUAAGGUCCCAAAGUCAUGGUUAAGUGGGAAACGAUGUGGGAAGGCCCAGACAGCCAGGAUGUUGGCUUAGAAGCAGCCAUCAUUUAAAGAAAGCGUAAUAGCUCACUGGUCGAGUCGGCCUGCGCGGAAGAUGUAACGGGGCUAAACCAU